RNAcentral lists this ribosomal RNA (497 nucleotides) under uncultured bacterium. RNAcentral's name for it is "partial 16S ribosomal RNA". It matches the Rfam family "Bacterial small subunit ribosomal RNA", at positions 28 to 507 of the family's 1533-position model. The record is from RNAcentral.
GAUGAACGCUGGCGGCGUGCCUAAUACAUGCAAGUCGAGCGAACAGACGAGGAGCUUGCUCCUCUGACGUUAGCGGCGGACGGGUGAGUAACACGUGCAUAACCUACCUAUAAGACUGGGAUAACUUCGGGAAACCGGAGCUAAUACCGGAUAAUAUAUUGAACCGCAUGGUUCAAUAGUGAAAGACGGUUUUGCUGUCACUUAUAGAUGGAUCCGCGCCGCAUUAGCUAGUUGGUAAGGUAACGGCUUACCAAGGCAACGAUGCGUAGCCGACCUGAGAGGGGGAUCGCCCACACUGGAACUGAGACACGGUCCAGACUCCUACGGGAGGCAGCGGUAGGGAAUCUUCCGAAAUGGGCGAAAGCCUGACGGAGCAACGCCGCGUGAGUGAUGAAGGUCUGCGGAUCGUAAAACUCUGUUAUUAGGGAAGAACAAAUGUGUAAGUAACUAUGCACGUCUUGACGGUACCUAAUCAGAAAGCCACGGCUAACUACGUG